Molecule: transfer RNA, 82 nt
Organism: Gossypium raimondii (Peruvian cotton)
Lineage: Eukaryota; Viridiplantae; Streptophyta; Magnoliopsida; Malvales; Malvaceae
Rfam family: tRNA
About the family: Transfer RNA (tRNA) molecules are approximately 80 nucleotides in length. Their secondary structure includes four short double-helical elements and three loops (D, anti-codon, and T loops).
Source: Rfam
GAUGCUUUGGCCGAGUGGUUAAGGCGUGUUCCUGCUAAGUACAUGGGUCUUCCCUGCGAGAAUUCGAAUCUUUCAGGCGUUG